RNAcentral lists this ribosomal RNA (445 nucleotides) under uncultured bacterium. Its description in RNAcentral is "bacterial SSU rRNA". It matches the Rfam family "Bacterial small subunit ribosomal RNA", at positions 338 to 795 of the family's 1533-position model. The record is from RNAcentral.
CCUACGGGUGGCUGCAGUGGGGAAUUUUCGGCAAUGGGCGAAAGCCUGACCGAGCAAUGCCGCGUGAAGGAUGAAGGCCCUUUGGGUUGUAAACUUCUGUGGAAAAUAACUAAAAAAAUGAAGUGUUUUCUAGAAAGAGGUUGCUAACUCUGUGCCAGCAGCAGCGGUAAUACAGAGACCUCAAGCGUUAUCCGGUAUUAUUGGGCGUAAAGAGUUCCGAUCGGUUGUUAUAUUUGUCUAAUAUUAAAGACCAAAGCUCAACUUUGUGUAUGUAUUAGAAACGGUAUAACUAGAAGAGUAAAGGGGUGGCUGGAACUCUACAAGUAGCGGUGAAAUGUGUUGAUAUGUAGGGGAACACCAAAAGCGAAGGCAGGCCACUAGGUACUUCUUGACACUGCUAGGACGAAAGCGUGGGGAGAGAAUGGGAUUAGAUACCCAAGUAGUC